GAUGAACGCUGGCGGCGUGCCUAAUACAUGCAAGUCGAGCGAACAGACGAGGAGCUUGCUCCUCUGACGUUAGCGGCGGACGGGUGAGUAACACGUGGAUAACCUACCUAUACGACUGGGAUAACUUCGGGAAACCGGAGCUAAUACCGGAUAAUAUAUUGAACCGCAUGGUUCAAUAGUGAAAGACGGUUUUGCUGUCACUUAUAGAUGGAUCCGCGCCGCAUUAGCUAGUUGGUAAGGUAACGGCUUACCAAGGCGACGAUGCGUAGCCGACCUGAGAGCGUGAUCGGCCACACUGGAACUGAGACACGGUCCAGACUCCUACGGGAGGCAGCAGUAGGGAAUCUUCCGCAAUGGGCGAAAGCCUGACGGAGCAACGCCGCGUGAGGGAUGAAGGUCUUAGGAUCGUAAAGCUCUGUUAUUAGGGAAGAACAAAUGUGUAAGUAACUAUGCACGUCUUGACGGUACCUAAUCAGAAAGCCACGGCUAACUACGUG
RNAcentral lists this ribosomal RNA (497 nucleotides) under uncultured bacterium. RNAcentral's name for it is "partial 16S ribosomal RNA". It matches the Rfam family "Bacterial small subunit ribosomal RNA", at positions 28 to 507 of the family's 1533-position model. The record is from RNAcentral.